Molecule: small nuclear RNA, 111 nt
Organism: Alexandromys fortis (reed vole)
Lineage: Eukaryota; Metazoa; Chordata; Mammalia; Rodentia; Cricetidae
Source: RefSeq, a predicted model, not a curated record
GAGCUCGCUUCGGCAGUACAUAUACUGAAAUUGGAAUGAUAGAGAGAAGAUUAGCAUGGCCCCUGCGCAAGGAUGAUACAGCACCGUUCUUGUGAGUUAUAGAGGUGGGUU